GAUAUAAGUAGCCCUUAUAGCAGUGGAGGGACUGAACCUUAAACCUUUCUGAUAUUAAUGACAUGGCUGGAGAACCUCAGCCCCCUGAACUUGGAUCCUGGCAGAUUUCUUUAUCAAAUUUGGCUUGGAGCUGUGAAGUCAUUAAUUGAAAACACUGAAGGCAGAAGGUGUCUGGGGAUUACUGAAUACUAAAUUCUCUAGAUUCAUGGUGUUUGAUAUUAGAAGAGAUCCAAUACUGUUUUCUGGCAGGAGAGGAAAAACAACUUAGAACCAGCAAUUUAAGAACUGCUGCCACCAGAUUGGUCUAAUCCAGUUCCAGCUGCUCUACCGUGCCUAUGCGUGAGCAAGGGAGCUCAGCAGGGAAAGAGAAUAAAGCAUCCCGGUUCAGCCAGCAGCAGGACCUGGAGGAAUAUUCAAGCUCACGGGGGGAAAUAAAGUCUUCGUUAAAGAAAAGAAGUGUCUGCCAGCUAGGUGAUCACCUUUUCAAAAGGCAAAACAAGACACAUGGAGGAGCCCUGCCCCCCCCCCCCCGUCGGCCCCCGCCCCUGCCCCUCCUUUUCCCCUGCACCCCCACCCCCUGCUCCUCCUCUUCUCCCCCAAAGCUUUCCCCCCCACCAGCCAGAGCCACCCAGGAAACCUGGAGCACAGGUGAGAGGGGUCAAAGGUACAUGACAAAUUGUGCAACUAUUUGCCGGAUUAUAUUUAUCCCAUGGCUCUGUGAUUUAUCCUAUUGCUACCACCACUACGUAUCGUUUGUCUGCGUAUAAAACAAUAACCGGGACCCAAGGUAUCUGAAGAGAAUAUACGGGGCCUAUAGUCCUUCAUCUUCUAUGUAUGGUCUGUAUGUACGAUACAUACUGGAACUCUCCUCAGUUUAUACAUAGCUAGUCUGGGUAAAGUCAUUUUUAUAGACUCUAAUGAUUUCAUGAUAAGUUUCAUGAAGACAUCCAGCAUUAGGGCCAGAUUUUCAAUGACUAUUCAGCUCCUUUGGGCUGCUCCUAAGAUGCAAAGAAGCCAGAUUUUGGUAGUAACUGGCUGGCGGGGGGGUGGGAGGGGAGAGAUUGCUAAAUUGGAGCUGACUUGUGACCAGCUGCCCCUCACCCACAUGGAGGGGAUGUUUCAGGGGAGAGGAGGAGUUCCACUUUGCUAUGCUGACCCUCAGCUGCUGGAGGGUAGAGCAGGACAUAGGCUGCUCUAACUCACGGUGGAGCUGGAGCCAGGGUUAAUGCAGACUGUCCUGCAGAAUCAGGGAGCUGUAAUCAUCUCGAUAAUGACCCCCAUCCUCACUGGCACCUGGCAUCGCUUGGAUUCAAGGGAGAAUCUGCCUCACAGUCUCAUCACUUCUGUAACCUUUCUGUGUGGCAUAAAUUCCUUUUGAAGUGAA
Chrysemys picta bellii (western painted turtle) is the source of this 1384-nucleotide long non-coding RNA. RefSeq lists it as uncharacterized. Lineage: Eukaryota; Metazoa; Chordata; Testudines; Emydidae. The record is from RefSeq and is a predicted model, not a curated record.